This 61-nucleotide ribosomal RNA is filed under the name Nothopucciniastrum fagi. Its description in RNAcentral is "Pucciniastrum fagi partial 28S rRNA". RNAcentral also lists the same sequence under 1 other name. Lineage: Eukaryota; Fungi; Basidiomycota; Pucciniomycetes; Pucciniales; Pucciniastraceae. The record is from RNAcentral.
CUUUUAGACCUCAAAUCAGGUGGGAUUACCCGCUGAACUUAAGCAUAUCAUAAGCGGAGGA